UACAGAGGUGGCAAGCGUUGUUCGGAAUUACUGGGCGUAAAGGGCGCGUAGGCGGUUCGUUAAGUCCUGUGUGAAAUCCCCCGGCUCAACUGGGGAACUGCACAGGAAACUAGCGGGCUUGAGUUCGGGAGAGGGAAGCGGAAUUCCGGGUGUAGCGGUGAAAUGCGUAGAUAUCAUCUGGAACGCCAAUGGUGAAAACAGCUCGCUGGGGGUUUGCAGACGCUGAGACACGAAAGCCAGGGGAGCAAACGGG
Molecule: ribosomal RNA, 253 nt
Filed under: uncultured bacterium
Lineage: Bacteria
Description: partial 16S ribosomal RNA
Rfam family: Bacterial small subunit ribosomal RNA
Source: RNAcentral